UAGUCCACGCCGUAAACGAUGUCUACUAGCCGUUGGGAGACUUGAUUUCUUAGUGGCGCAGCUAACGCACUAAGUAGACCGCCUGGGGAGUACGGCCGCAAGGUUAAAACUCAAAUGAAUUGACGGGGGCCCGCACAAGCGGUGGAGCAUGUGGUUUAAUUCGAUGCAACGCGAAGAACCUUACCAGGCCUUGACAUCCUGAGAAUUUGGUAGAGAUACCUUAGUGCCUUCGGGAACUCAGUGACAGGUGCUGCAUGGCUGUCGUCAGCUCGUGUUGUGAAAUGUUGGGUUAAGUCUCGCAACGAGCGCAACCCCUAUCUUUAGUUGCCAGCAUUAAGUUGGGCACUCUAGAGAGACUGCCGGGGUUAACCCGAGGAAGGUGGGAUGACGUCAAGUCCUCAUGGCCCUUAUACCCAGGGCUACACACGUGAUACAAUGGGCAGUACAGAGGGACGCAACCCCGAGAGGGUGAGCCAAUCUCAAAAAGCUGUUCUCAGUUCGGAUUGG
Molecule: ribosomal RNA, 507 nt
Filed under: uncultured bacterium
Lineage: Bacteria
Description: bacterial SSU rRNA
Rfam family: Bacterial small subunit ribosomal RNA
Source: RNAcentral